GGCCGGGUGGCCGAGUGGUUCUAGGCGCUACGGUCUGGAACCGCGGCCGCAGGUUCGAAUCCUGCCUCGGGCA
Molecule: non-coding RNA, 73 nt
Organism: Schistocerca cancellata (South American locust)
Lineage: Eukaryota; Metazoa; Arthropoda; Insecta; Orthoptera; Acrididae
Source: the annotation of a RefSeq genome assembly